AUACAUCAUGCAGAACGAAAAUGUUUGACAUGCUAAUUAAAAUUCUUUGUAGCUUUCCUACGAAUAUUAAUCCCAUAAAUGACACAAAUGUAAAUUUUCCAUGCUCUAGUUGUCGGUGUUGUUCUGUGUCAUGGUAUCCAUGAGACGUGAUCGCUUGCGAAUUAAUUGUGGUAUUUUAUGUAAUUUGCUCGAAAGCUUGGAAAACGUCAGUGUAUUGUGGGUUGAAAUGGUAAACUGAUAUCACACUAAGCCAAUACGUCAAAUUGGCUUGUCAGAAAACUGUCAGUAGUCAAAGCUGUAUUUACAAGUUUCACUAACCCUCUUACGAUUCAUUUCGUACAAUCCCGGGCUCGCGAUGUUCCAGAGAACUUUUUAUAUGCUGUCGUUGGGGUUGCUCAUAUCAUUGGCUGACGCAGAGCAACCUGGUUUGAAUCUGUUUCAAGUACAAAACUUGGCAGAUGAUAUAUCCAAAAAAAUUACGAACAUGUGGCAAGAUACUUCAGGAUUUAGUCAUCUUAAAAAGGCAUACGAGGAAAGUCUUACCGAAGUGGUCCAGGGUGACGUGAAGCAGUUGCUUACUGAAAGCGCAUAUAAGAUGGAACAAUAUUUCAGCAAGAAAGUUGAUUCAUUACAGAGGAUAAAAACCAAAGCAGGAAUUGCAUACGCUGAAAGAAAGACAGACGCAAUCUUUACGGCAAAAGAUGUGAAAUAUGUAAAUAUGAUAGACCUGAACAAAUCAAGCAUACCUGUGACACUACAUUUUGAUCAGAGGUUCAAAAAAGAAGUAAAUAUAUCAUACAGUGGAAUACAGAUACCAACAAAUGUUUAUGAUCAAGGUCCUGUCGUUUUGAAAACAAUCAACUGGACGUCAGAAUUGGAUGAAGUAUUCAUUGACAAUCUCAAGAACAGAGAUGAUACGCUUAAAUGGCAAUACUUUGGAAGUCCCGAUGCUGUGUUUCGUACCUAUCCAGCAAAACGCUGGACCAAUCCUUACUACAGUGCAAGAAAAAGACCCUGGUACACCCAAGGUGCUACUUCUCCCAAAAAUAUGGUGAUUUUGAUUGACAGUAGUGGAAGCAUGGUUGGCAAGAAUUCAGUGAUAGGUCGCUUGGCAGUAUCAAAUCUUAUUGAUACGUUGUCAAACAACGAUUUCUUCAAUGUGCUUUACUUCAAUACAGCUGUUAAAUUCUUAUCAUGUAAUAAAACGUUGCUUCAGGCCACUAGGAAUAAUAGGGAGUGGUUCAAAUCAAGACUAAGGACUAGUGGUUACAAAAAUGUUGCUGAAUGGAAAACGGCAUUAAAUGAAGCAUUUGAGAUAUUAAAAACGUCGGAAGGUGCAAAAUGUCAAAAGAUGAUCAUGAUCUUCUCUGACGGAACGGAGCACAAAUAUGAAGACGUGUUCGAACGUCACAACAAACACAAGGAGAUCAGGGUUUUUACUUAUCUCCUGGGAAGCCCGAGUCCAGCAUAUUCCUCAAAUGAUUUAAUGUGGAUGGCCUGCUCUAAUAAAGGUUAUUUUUAUAAAGUUCCUACUGUUGGUUCAGUUCGAGAUCUUAUUGAGGAUUAUGUAUCUGUUCUGAGCAGACCGAUGGCCACAAACAUGACACUGAAUCCAGUUUGGACGGGAAUAUAUAGAGAUGCAUCGGGUCUAGGCAUGAUGGUGACUGCAACUCUACCUGUGUUUCAUGAAAGAACCUUUUUAGGAGUAUGUGGUACGGAUGUGACCAUCAGUCAGUUGGUUAAUUUUGUCUAUCAACCAUACAUUGGUCCUGGUGGCUACCCAUUCAUAAUCAACAACAACGGUCAUAUCAUAAAACACCCCAAUUUACGUGCUAUGUAUGGAUAUGUCAAAAGUGCCAAUGAUAUUGAUUUGAGCGAGGCAGAGUUUGUACCUGAAGAAGAAAAGGAUCACCUCUUGGCAUUGAGAAAAAAGAUGUUAUCAAUUAAAGAUGGAGAAACUGGGGAAGAGACAAUCAAUGCAUUCUCAUUCACUGAGUAUGAGCGAUACCUGCGAAUAACGCCAAUCAAAAGAACUUACAUAUUCACAAAAAUACGAAAAACACCUUUCAGCUUGGGUAUCGCUUCCUCCCAGAUUGGUUAUGAAGUUCUACAGUAUAAAUCAUAUGCUGUGGAAAAUGAAACUGACGGAAUUGUUCUUCUGAAAGACUGGAAACACUGUAAUUCCACAGUACCUCCGCUGAAAACAACAGCAAAGAACCUAAGACGCUUACUGCAGGGAAGCGAUUGCAGUGUUAAUCUCAUGCUUGACUUAAAUAUAACGGAGAACGUUUGGUCAAACUCCAACAUUUCUUCAUUUGUCAAAACAAACUGGGGACUUGUGCGUGUUUCACAAUCAAAUGGUUCGAAUGUUCUGGAAGAAAAAAUGUUUCAGAGAAUCAGCAAUCUCAACGAAAACUCUAUCAUUGUAUCAAUUCCAUAUAAUGAUGGUAAAUCAGAUGCAACAUCAGCUAACCUGUUGGUCUACAAGGGCAUCCAGAUAAAUGUUUCAAAUUUGAGUAUAAUUCCUAUUGUAACUGGUUUUCAAACAAACGAAGAGGUUUUCCUGAAAGAUCAUUUAAUGAAUAUCACUUCAAAGGAUAAGUACCAUGUUUAUCUUUUGGACGAAAAUGCUUUCAUUGUCAGCUCUAGUCUCAACAGUAGUAAGAAUGUAUGUGGUCAAUUUUUCGGAAGCCUUGACUGGGAGCUAAUGUCAGAAUUAGAAAAAGGCAGUGAACCUUUUUACACAAGUGUUGACAUCAUCUUUUACAUCAUGGGCAAAAAAUGUCCUAGCAUGCCUUCUCCAUUUCAAUAUUUACAACUUAUUCUUCGCGACGACAGCAGGAGCGACAACAGAUGCUCAAUCACAGACCAAUAGAAGUUGUGUCACAAAUAUUACGGCGUAUUAUGGCAACACAACACGAUGGAAACCUUUUAGCGGGAACACAACAUGCCUUGAUUGUGGAAAUAAUGAAGAUUUGCGGCAGUAUUUCGUCGUUCCUGUUCGUGGAACAAAUUUGGUUCUAGUU
This 3026-nucleotide unclassified non-coding RNA is filed under the name Dendronephthya gigantea. RNAcentral describes it as "voltage-dependent calcium channel subunit alpha- 2/delta-2-like, transcript variant X2". The record is from RNAcentral. Lineage: Eukaryota; Metazoa; Cnidaria; Anthozoa; Malacalcyonacea; Nephtheidae.